AUCUUCAGAACUGGCAAUAUAUGAAACAACAACAGUAAUGUCAUCAAGCUUGCCACCAUAAUAGCGAAAUCCAGCAUCUUGGGCAGCAGUGGAAAAUGGGGUUUGCCUGUCUUUAUCUUGUGCUCGUUGUCGUGCCAAUGCAGCUAUUUUCUGUGCUGUCACCUGAGGCCCUAAGGCAGCUCUUGUCGCAUGAACCACCACUGCAUUAAUCUCAUUGUUGUACAAGUUGUCAAACAAACCAUCUGUUCCAGCAACUAUAACAUCCCCAGGAGCAACAGCAAUUGUAAAAACCUGACCAGAGCUAGGUAGAUCACCAUUGUUUCCACUCUCUAGUUGAUAGGUGAAAUUAAAAUCAUGCUGCUGCACAGGAGAGCGGAAUACAGUGCAUCCAUCUCGAACCACUAUAAAACCACUAUCCCCUAAAUUGAUAGCGUGGAGACCCUCAUCUGUGAGUGCUAUGAUACAGGCUGUUGAGGAACCCUUGGCUUUUGUGCUAGAGUGAGCUUUCUCUAAGACCCUUGCUGGGUCAAUUAAACCUUUGGGUUCCUGUUGAAUAGCAGAUACUGAAUUAGACAUAAGUUCACGAGAAUACUGCCCUGCAUCAAUGCCAAGAUCUGCCCAACCACCAACACCGUCAGCCACACCUAUUGCUUGUUCAUUUGAACAAAUGAAAUGAGCAUCCUCUCCCCCUGUUUCUUCCUUAUCAGGAUGGGGCAGGUAGCAAGAUCCUGAGAUUAGCUUCAGUGUUUUGCCAGCAGAACUCUUCUGUUCUGAGGAAACUGCAGAAGUUUCAAGCUGUUCCUCAUGGGCAGAAUUCUCAAAGGUUAUAUCAGGUGCAGUUCCAGCUGACAAACAUGAAGGAGUUGAGCUGUGGAAAUAUCUAGAUCCUGUCUCUAUGUAUGGAGAAAAGUCACACCAUUUCUUCAUGAUAUUGUAGCCAAAAUAUCCAUAAAUGGGAGAAUCGGUGGAUUGCUUUCUGUUCUUCAAACUCAUACUGACAUUUCUGUAACUCUGGGAACUUCUACUGUCAUAAGAGAUGCUGGCUUUGUUGGUUGAAAAUGGAAGAUGCCCACCCCUUGAAGUUAGAUUCUCCUGGAAAUAUUCAAUUAUAGCCCUGGACGUACAGGUGGCCAUUAGCUUAUUCUGCAAUUUCCCACUGCCUGGUGUUUGACUAGUAUGACAAAGGGCGCGGUCAAUGUGAUACCCACAAACCUGAACUGAAGGGCCUGAUACAGAAGGUACAGAAAAUGUGCGAGAAAGUGCUCCAACAACAGAGAUAUUCCUUCUACGAUUAACUAAUUGCGAAUCAAAUUGAGCAGCAACAAGAGUACCAGGUCUCAAAAGUGCAUGUAUGUCUUCAAGCGAAACAAUUCGUGCAGAAUGAAAUAAUCUAUAACUGUAAAACCGAGACUUUGCCUGGCCGACUAGAGUUUCAGUUAAAUCUUG
Molecule: unclassified non-coding RNA, 1446 nt
Filed under: Hevea brasiliensis (rubber tree)
Lineage: Eukaryota; Viridiplantae; Streptophyta; Magnoliopsida; Malpighiales; Euphorbiaceae
Source: RNAcentral